AUGGGGUCAGCUGCUCUCCUGCUGUUGGUACUGCUGCUCUGGGUUCCAGGUUCCACCGGGGACAUUGUGCUGACCCAGUCUCCAGCUACUUUGACCAGGUCUCUAGGGCAAAGUGCCACCAUCUCCUGCAAGGCCAGCCAGAGUGUCUCUAUAGGACCUAUUAAUUUUAUGCACUGGUAUCAACAGAAACCAGGACAGCCCCCCAGACUCCUCAUCUAUGGAGCAUCCAACAUAGAAUCUGGGGUCCCAGCCAGGUUCAGUGGCAGUGGAUCUGGAACAGACUUCACUCUCACCAUUCACCCUGUGGAGGCUGAUGAUGCUGCAACCUAUUUCUGUCAGCAGAAGUCCUCACUGUGGCUCACGUUCGGUGCUGGCACCAAGCUGGAGAUAAAACGGGCUGAUGCUAAGCCUACCGUCUCCAUCUUCCCACCAUCCCGUGAGCAGUUAGAUGCUGGAGGUGCCACAGUUGUGUGCUUCGUGAACGACUUCUACCCCAGAGAAAUCAAUGUCAAGUGGAAAGUAGAUGGCAGUGAAAAACAAGAUGGCGUCCUGGAGAGUAUCACUGAUCAAGACAGCAAAGACAACACCUACAGCCUGAGCAGCACCCUCUCGAUGACCAAAGCAGAUUAUGAGAGGCAUAGCCUGUAUACCUGUGAGGUUACUCAUAAGACAUCAACUGCAGCCAUUGUCAAGACCCUGAACAGGAAUGAGUGUUAG
This is a non-coding RNA of Cricetulus griseus (Chinese hamster), 717 nucleotides long. NCBI's taxonomy places the organism in Eukaryota, Metazoa, Chordata, Mammalia, Rodentia, Cricetidae. The record is from the annotation of a RefSeq genome assembly.